RNAcentral lists this ribosomal RNA (458 nucleotides) under Streptococcus mutans. RNAcentral's name for it is "bacterial SSU rRNA". It matches the Rfam family "Bacterial small subunit ribosomal RNA", at positions 28 to 464 of the family's 1533-position model. The record is from RNAcentral. Lineage: Bacteria; Bacillati; Bacillota; Bacilli; Lactobacillales; Streptococcaceae.
GACGAACGCUGGCGGCGUGCCUAAUACAUGCAAGUGGGACGCAAGGAAACACACUGUGCUUGCACACCGUGUUUUCUUGAGUCGCGAACGGGUGAGUAACGCGUAGGUAACCUGCCUAUUAGCGGGGGAUAACUAUUGGAAACGAUAGCUAAUACCGCAUAAUAUUAAUUAUUGCAUGAUAAUUGAUUGAAAGAUGCAAGCGCAUCACUAGUAGAUGGACCUGCGUUGUAUUAGCUAGUUGGUAAGGUAAGAGCUUACCAAGGCGACGAUACAUAGCCGACCUGAGAGGGUGAUCGGCCACACUGGGACUGAGACACGGCCCAGACUCCUACGGGAGGCAGCAGUAGGGAAUCUUCGGCAAUGGACGAAAGUCUGACCGAGCAACGCCGCGUGAGUGAAGAAGGUUUUCGGAUCGUAAAGCUCUGUUGUAAGUCAAGAACGUGUGUGAGAGUGGAAAG